This 975-nucleotide long non-coding RNA is filed under the name Ananas comosus (pineapple). RNAcentral describes it as "long non-coding RNA (ACOM_LNC025094)". Lineage: Eukaryota; Viridiplantae; Streptophyta; Magnoliopsida; Poales; Bromeliaceae. The record is from RNAcentral.
UGUUUCCAUACAUCAUAAAUGUUAAAAUUUAAUUCUUAAUUAAUAAAAUAUAUAAUUAAAUUUUAUAUAAAGUAAUCUGUUGAAUAGGUUACCAAUUUGAAUAGUCAAUAUGACAAUAUUGAAAAAAAAUAAAUAAUAUAUACCAAAUUUGUCAGCAUCCUAUAAAUAUUAAAAAUCUGAUUUACUUUGGUAACUUACCAAAUUAGAUAAUACUUAAUUUGUUAAGUAUUUAGCUUAAAAAAUUAUUGAAUUUAAAUUUAAUUUUUGAAGUUGGUAUUGUAAUGUAAAAUUUUAAUUUUGAAAUUUAUAUUAAACUUUUAAAUUUGAAUCUAAAUUGAACUUUUAAUCUUAAAGCCAAAUUUUAAUUUUUGAUUUAAAUUAAAAUUUUGAAUUGAAACUGAAAGUUUUAUUUUAAAUUUGUGUUUUAUAUUUAAAAAAAUUGAAUUUGAUUUAUAAUUAAGUUUUAAAUGUUGAAUUUAAAUUUACAAUUUGGUUGUAAUUUGAAAUCCAACUAUUGUUGUAGGCAUUUGAAAAGGUCACAGUAUUUUUAGUUGGAUAAAACUGGUUUUGUAGACCCAAAAAUUUUACAAAGACCAAAAUACUCUUUAAAUAGGUACCUGGUGAAUUGUGUCUAUGCUUCAAUAGUAGGUCAUCUCUAGAGUCAUAUUAAAUCUAAACCAUCUAUUAAGAAAAAUAAAUGGUCAAGAUUUAUAUGAUGUAUUGAAGCAUUACUUAUCUGAAAAAUAUGAGAAGUUAAUAUACGAAAGAUGUACUGUAACUAACAAUUGAAUUUACGCACGGACCAUUCUUAGCACAAAUGGCAAAAAAUUAGAUAAUUAGUAUUCGAAAUCUCAAAUUUAAAUCUUAGUGGAUUUAUAUUUCUGGCUCAAUUUAUUUUUUUAAAAAAUAAAUAAAUAAUAGCAUGUUAUCUUUCUCUUUAAAAAAAUUAAUAAAUUUAAAUAUCUUAGGUCGAUU